UACGUAGGGUGCGAGCGUUGUCCGGAAUUAUUGGGCGUAAAGAGCUCGUAGGCGGUUUGUCACGUCUGCUGUGAAAUCCCGAGGCUCAACCUCGGGCCUGCAGUGGGUACGGGCAGACUGGAGUGCGGUAGGGGAGAAUGGAAUUCCUGGUGUAGCGGUGGAAUGCGCAGAUAUCAGGAGGAACACCGAUGGCGAAGGCAGUUCUCUGGGCCGUAACUGACGCUGAGGAGCGAAAGCAUGGGGAGCAAACAGG
Molecule: ribosomal RNA, 253 nt
Filed under: uncultured bacterium
Lineage: Bacteria
Description: partial 16S ribosomal RNA
Rfam family: Bacterial small subunit ribosomal RNA
Source: RNAcentral